UGCCUGGGUCUCUGGCCUGCGCGU
Molecule: microRNA, 24 nt
Filed under: Homo sapiens (human)
Lineage: Eukaryota; Metazoa; Chordata; Mammalia; Primates; Hominidae
Description: hsa-miR-661
Gene: hsa-miR-661
Source: miRBase by way of RNAcentral